Acipenser ruthenus (sterlet) is the source of this 308-nucleotide long non-coding RNA. RefSeq lists it as uncharacterized. The transcript is spliced from 3 exons. NCBI's taxonomy places the organism in Eukaryota, Metazoa, Chordata, Actinopteri, Acipenseriformes, Acipenseridae. The record is from RefSeq and is a predicted model, not a curated record.
CUGAACAAAAGGAAAAGUGAAACGAAGAAACUGUAAAAAAUGACGACUGGACACCAACCACUAAAAGCUGAUUUGUAAAAAAAGACCUGCUUCUCCUGGUGUUGUAUCCUUGCUGGACGGAGAUGGUGAAGAUGCUGGAGGCGGCCAAGCCAGCACAGUAUGGGGUAGAUUUGACAAGGGACAAGAAAAGAAGGCCACCUCCCCUCCAGACAUUCCGAUCAGAGAAAAGAGACAAUUCGAAGCCAACCCAAAGAGACGUCCAAGACCUUGUCUGGGCUGCCUAUCUGUAAUAUCAGCUAAAAAGGAGG